This 194-nucleotide non-coding RNA is filed under the name unclassified sequences. RNAcentral's name for it is "psaA RNA". It matches the Rfam family "psaA RNA". The record is from RNAcentral.
CCUAUGCUUCCGCAAGAGGUCCCCUUGUCGGGGCCCAAGCACCAGUUCGUACAAGAGGUUUCGGCCUCCGAUCGAGCUGGCGCCCGGCGGUUCCGUCUCUAUGAGGCGAGCUGUCAGGGCCCCGACAGGCUCAGGCCUAUCGGAAGGGGUGUCCCAUCACCUCGAUCCCGUCCCCUCGAGGAACGACUCGAUGA